This 306-nucleotide long non-coding RNA is filed under the name Aquila chrysaetos chrysaetos. Its description in RNAcentral is "lncRNA (ENSACCG00020011883.1)". Lineage: Eukaryota; Metazoa; Chordata; Aves; Accipitriformes; Accipitridae. The record is from RNAcentral.
GGAACAUUCACCUCCAUCAGGAACUUCUCACAGUAGUCAGUCAGAUCCUGAGCCAAUGGAGAGAUUUGCCCUAAGCUUUCGUGAUGACAUGGAAGUUACUACACAAGUUAAGGAACCUCAGCCAACUUCUGUUAGUUUGAAAGAAUCCCACUCAAUAUACGGAGAGCAGGAUCAGAAUGUCAUUGAACAUUCAAAUCGCAGUCAAGAUACCUUACUUGAGGUAUUGCCACUUGAACGAUUGGAAGAUUUGUCAACUGGAGUAUGUUUUCUUCCAGACAGUGAGAAUAACAAGGUGACAGCUUUUCU